This is a regulatory RNA element of 103 nucleotides. It matches the Rfam family "Pseudomon-Rho RNA". The record is from Rfam.
UUCGGCCACGCGACGCUUUCUUCCGUCGCCCUCUGCAUGCCGUCGCCGACGCACUUCAGCCUCAUAAAGCACAACGAACCUCGUUCGUCUCCUGCUGCGCGGC